UCGCUCUCUGCUGCACUUCGAUUAACAGCAUGGGCGAGAAAAUGCUGUUAUAUGGGACACUGCCGACGCUUGCUCUUAAAACGCGAUCCCAAUAAUAUGGCGUCAGAAGAAUAAAAAGUCCUUUUUGAUGGAAAAAGCAUAGAAAAACUCCAAAAGCACCAAAAUAAUUAUUUGGUGAUGGCAUACUUUGAGCUAAGCAAGAUCUGUACAAAUUGUGCACAAAUUGCAACUCACAGAAAAAAGACAGCCGGCAGUGAAUCCUAUCUUAAUAUUAUGAUUGGAAAAAAAAGUAUCUUUUUCCAAUUAAACCCCGUUAUUGAGAACUCUUCUAGUGCCGCCAUGAAUCCUUGAUGUUAUGCAGCAUCCCGAAAAGAAUAUCUGUGACAAUAUAUUCGGCCAGCGCUCGCUUCUAAUAUUGAUGGAAAAACAAAGACUAGUAUAAAUGCUCCGACUUUGACCCUUACAGGAAAUGGGCAGUGGAUCAUGAUUACACUCCUUUAGAUAACAUGAUGAUAGUUAGUGCUCAUUCACAAGCAUGUUUACCGUUAAGUUUGAAAGAAAAGCGACGAUGUAAAUGUGAACUGUUUACUUAAAUUAAAAAGUAAGAUGGAUAUUUUAGUCCAACAAUACUCUCGGUGUAAAUCAAUAAAGGAGGGAAAGCUUAUUUAGGAAUGAAUCUCAUGAUCUGUCAACUGUCUUUACUCCAAGAUCAUUUAGCAACGCCAACUUUUUCGUGGCAUUUUAACGAAAAGAGCGUAUUUGCAACCACUAGUAGUAAUUCAAGUUGUAUUGACUUUAAAGGAGUUAUGUUCGAAAACAGCCUAACGAUCCAGCAUGUGGUUAGAAAGAUUGGAGUAUACAUUAUGAGUACACUUUGCAAGCUUACGAAACGGCACUAUUUCCACCUGCAUUCUUCGAAAUUUCCAGCUCUUACAGCUCUUGCCUAUUCACCAUACCACAAGCAAGCAGAGGUUGGCCGGUCCGAUCCAUUAUCGUGCAUGGAUUUUAUCAUUGGAGAGGUAGCAUUACAUGUUAGCAAUACUAUUACUUAUUUAUAUUUACUUUUUUCUCCUUUCAUUUACUUUUAUAAAUACGAAUAUUCUUAAUUGCUUGGUGAUAGGUUCUCUGCGUCAGUUGAAGUCUUAUGUCCGUCCAAUGGAAACACUGUCCAGAAGGGAUCUACUUGGAAGGCUUAUAUUGCAGAGCGAAGUGGUUUAACCUUUUGUUCUAGGCUAUUUCAUGAAGUAGAGUCGAGAUCAAAAUUCCCAGUCCGACCUUGAGAGAAAUUUGAGGGUAAUGAAAUCAAAAAAAAAAAACAUCCAGAUACCAGAGUUAAUCCGCUUUCUUCGACGAAACGGAGACCCACAUUAAUAAAUGGAAACGGGAGUAUUCCAAGACUAACUUAUGAGAAUCGGCUCGUGGCACAACUUUAUGUGUUAAAAAAUUGUGCUGAAAGUUUCAACCCUUACUUUCUUGAGUAAACGCAUUACCUAUACAGUACCUUUUUAUUUGUCUUACCUAAUUUUCCUUUUUUAUUUGUUUAGUCUACUUGUAUCAAACAAUUCGAUAAUUUAUCUUUUUUGCUAAUUCCACAUAGACGAACACCAAGAGAACUGGAAAAGAGAGGAUUGUACCCUCCAAAUUGUGUCAGAAAUACAGGAUACAAACAUUCUGUUACAUGGGUUUAAAAAACACACGCGCGAGGUAAGUGGAAAAUGUAUUAGAUAUUAUCAUAUUUAUUCAGUAAUUAUUAUUAUUUCUAACUAUUCUAUAUACUUCUAUCCUUGUUACAGGCUGUACAUAUUCAUAUCAACCGAAAGUUACUGAAGAAAGGUAAGGCAAGAGAAUCUUUUGAAUUUAAGCUUCAUGGGUCCCAAUACAUUGAGCUAACUCACUAGUGGUUUAUAUACGUUACACCGGCUUUACCAGGUUUUCAGCAAACUCAUAAGCGUGAGGUUUUACCGCGUCCAAAAACCUCCAAAAAGUAAGUGGAUGUUUGUGGUUAAAGGGCUGAAUGCAGCAAUCAGAGGAAUCAGAGAUUAUUAAUGGAGGUUUUGCAGGAUAUUAUUGAAUUAGAUUUUAUGAUAUGGCGGAAAUAAAAAUAACAAUUCUUUUAAGUGUGACUGGUGGAAUAACUUAUGAAAUGAAGGGUUAGGGGUUUUCAAGAAGGAAAGGCCAAUGGAAUUACAGUUAUUACUUUUACUCGGCCUUCAAAAUGGCGGUCAAAUGAAAGCCUUAUUGUGUUAAGCCAUGGCAGAAGUGGAAAACAAGUUCUUAUCUAUGUAGUACGAUAUAAGCAAUCCUAAAUUGGCGACUCGUUAUCAAACACUAAUACCCUCUCACCUCGAAACUUUUAUCAUUUUUCCUAUUAACUCGUGAACGAGCUCAGCUUGGACGACGAAGGAUUGAUUUUAGAAACACGUUGGAAUAUGGAGGAGUUUACAUCACCCACCCAAUUUCAUCUACCAGAAUAUAUUCGUAGUAGCCUCGAUGAUGCCAUUAUUUCUUUUUUGACGGAAUCGAUGUUCGACGGCAUUAUUUUUUGAUAAGAACCAUGCUUAUUCAAAAAAUAAAUCCCAAGUUGGAGAAAAAAAUAAUACGCUUACAUAAAGAGCUUAAGGAGUACAUGAAAGGUGAAGAACAAAUGGCAAGAAGAGAAGAAUUGAGUAGAUAUGCAUGAAAUCAAUUGGUUAUGAAUACUUCAGUGUGUGGUAUGUUAUUUUAUCUCAUUUUUAUUAUAUGACCGCACGGCCGCCUCCUCCAUCGCUUCUCUAUAAAUUCCAUCUAUUCCCUUAAAAAGGCGAUUUUGUAUCUUAAUGAGAUCAUUGAUAAACGAUGAUUCAACUCUCGUUAAUCCGUAAAUUCCCUUCAAUCUUUUUCUAGAAUUUUCAUUUUAGAUUAAAUUUUUGUGUCAAUCAAUAAAUCUUUCUUCACAAUCUCCUACUAUUUAGUCUAAUUUUAUUCUCCUUAUUCACACCAACCCCCACACCUCUUGUUUUUUGAUUCUGUUCUUGAUAUUAUUCUCUCGUUAUCUGUUACAAACGGAGAAAUUUAACCUGUAUUCGGAGUCGAACUUCGGGAUCCUCUUCCCCCCCCGGUGCUCUCCUAUACAACAACUUCGUGAUCAUUUCAAUGCGUGGCGUUAUCGCUUGUAUAGAUUUCACUAUAAGAAGUAUAAGACUGAUGAGCAAAGGCGUGCUCAUUGCCCAAAUGACAUUGAUCAAGAGGAUUGGAAUUGGCUUAUUAACUAUUGGAGUGAUCCAAAGUUCAAGGUAAUAAAAAAUUUUAUAAUUUCAAAGUGUUUUUAAUUUUUUUUUUUUACAUUCACUAACUAUUUUUUAAAUUAAUAGCGUGUUAGUGAGGCAAACAAAGCAAAUAGAGCCAAACAAACUAUGAUUGCUCGUGUGGGUACAAUGUCUAUUGCUAGGAAUAUACAUAAAAUGGUAAUUCCUUGUGCCUAUUUAACAUCUAUUAAUUUUAUGUUAAAGAUAAUAUCUCAGUUUUAUUUUUAGCAUAUAAUUAUUAUCUAAAUUUUUUGUAUGUGAUUUCACAGAGGGAACCCAUAGAAAACUUAACACCAGAGCAAGUACAAGAGCUAGGGCAAAAGCCUGAAUAUAUGAGACUCUGGGAAAAGGUAAGAAGGAAAAGAGAUGGUAAUUGGGUUGAUAAAGAUGCUGAAGAUGCAUAUAAGCGAAUGGAAGAACUUCAUGGCGACCAAUUAAAACAGUACAGACAGGACACACUCUCUACAGAACGAGCAUAUACAUUAGUACUUGGCCAUCGAUCUAGCUACAUCCGUGGUAUGGGCUCAGGUCCUAUUCCUUUUGAAAGUGGCGGUACUAGAGGACAAAGGAUUCGUGCGCAAAUACGAGCAGAAAUAGAACAAGAAAUGGCUGUACGAAUUCAAACCGAAGUGGAAGAACGAAUGAGCCAAAGGGAAAGAGAAGCUGAGACACGAAUUGCUGAAAUGCAAGCACAGAUGCGUGCUGAGAUGCAAUCUCAGAUGCGUAGCAUGAUGGAGCAGCUUUCACAAAUGGGAUUGACCAUUCCUACUCAACAAGCAUCGAAAGAGAAUGUAAGUUAGUUUGUUUCUAUAAAAUGAGUUGAAUAAUUGAAAGUCAAAUUAUUUGGUGUAUUAGAAAUAGGUAAUUCUGUUUGUUAUGUUUAAUUUUAAAAUACAUACUUAAAGUGUUAAUCUAAUCUUAUAGUAUUUUUGACUUGAUAUGUUUUAAAUAUUAGUUAAUAGUAUCUUUUAUUAUUUUGAAUAAAUAAAUAGAUUAUAUUCAUAAUUCUAAUUAUUUUUUUUUCUCAUUAUACAGGAUUAAACCUACCAGCUCAACAUAUUGGACUUGGAUUGUCUCAAGAACUUUAUUUCAUUUUUUUUUUCUAGAGAUUUUUCUUCCUUAGUUCUAAAAUUUACUAGUAUUAGAUUAAAUUUUGGAUGGAAUUGAAACAUACAAUACUUGAUGUGAACAUUUGGAGUAGAUUCAUUUUAGUUGUGCUAAUUGAACUACUUUAUACUUUUUAGUGAAAAUAUCUUAAUUGUUGUGAUUGAUUGUUUGUUUAAAUACUGAUUGAGAAGUGUUUAUAAAUAGUUAUGACAUGGUGAUUAUGUGUAAAUUUUUUUUUUCAAUUACAAAUGUAAAACAUUAAAUAGUAUUGCAAAACUUCUGUGGCCAAAUAAUAAAUAGUCAUAAUUUGUUAUAUAAUAGUAAUCAAAUCUGAAAAUUUUAAAGUGACCGAAAUUAAAUUUUGCUACAAAUUACACAUAACUAUUUAUGUCCAAAAAUAAAUAUUGCUAUAAAAUAUAUAAUAUUAUUUGUAGCUAUAUAGAAUUUUGCCAUAAUAUAUAUUAAACUUUAUAUGGCCAAAUGUCAAAUUUUGUCAUAAAAAUAACAAUACUAUGUGUAGCCAAUAUUAAAAUUUGCCACAACAUGUAAAGGAUUAUUUAUGGCCAAACAGUAAUUUUCGCCACUAUAUGAACAAUACUAGUUGUGGCCAUUUUUAAAAUUUGCGAUAACAUGUAAAGGAUUAUUUGUGGCGAAACAGUGAUUUUCGCCGCUAUAUGAUCAAUGCUAGUUGUGGCUAUUUUUUAAAUUUGCCACAACAUGUAAAGCAUUAUUUGCGGCCAAACAGUGAUUUUCGCCGCUAUAUGAUCAAUGCUAGUUGUGGCCAUUUUUUAAAUUUGCCACAACAUGUAAAGCAUUAUUUGUGGCCAAACUGUGAUUUUCGCCGCUAUAUGAUCAAAGCUAGUUGUGGCCAUUUUUUAAAUUUGCCACAACAUGUAAAGCAUUAUUUGUGGCCAAACAGUAAUAUUCGCCACUAUAUGAUCAAUGCUAGUUGUGUCCAUUUUUAAAAUUUGCCAUAAGUUAUAUGUUACUAUUUGUGGCCAAAACUAUUUUGCUCACAAAAUAUCAUAUAUUUUCUUAUUAUUACUAUACAUAUUUAUGGCCAUCUGAUUCUUUAUUGCGGCGAAUUUGAAAACAGUUGUGUCCAAUAAAAUCGCCACAAAAAGUAUGUAUUUUUUGUCGCGAAAUUGUUUUGGCCACCAUAACCUUUUGUAGCGGUUCUACUGUGGCGACCUUGUAGCGAAAUUAUUGUCGCCACAAAAUUAUUUUUGUGGCGAAAAUUUAUAUUUUUGCGGCGAUUUUAUUCGCCACAAAAAAUAAAUUUUGUUGUAGUGUGCUUCGAAUUUUGUGCCCAAAUUUAUAUAAUCUUUUAAGAAUAGUAGGAAACAUUCAUCAAGGAUAAAAUCAGCUAUAUAAAUUAAUGAAUCUACAGUGUUGAAGAUGCAAGGUGGCAUCUUGGGGGAAAAAGUUUUUUUUUUUUUUUCAUCUUACUUUUUUUUCUUCUUUUUUCACUAAUUUUGAAACAAGAGAGUGAGAUUGGUUUUUUUUUUUAAUCCAAAAUAAUUUUUCUCUCUCAUUAUAAAAAUUUUAAAAUAUAUAAUCACUACAACAAAAACGGUCUAUAGCGACACUUUUAAAUGUAGGUAAUGUCAAAAAAGUGCUGUUAGCUAAAAUUACCGACACUUUUAAAAAGUGUUGCUAUAUGUGGGGUCGCUAGGUAUAUAGUGACAGUUAAAGAGUGUCGCUAUAACCUAAAAGAGUGCUGCUAAUUUACCAAUACUUAUUUAAGUAUUUAGCAACCGCCGAAACUCUACCUCGUUGGCUGCGGUGGCGGAGGAGGACGACAGGAAAGACUCUUCGUCUAGAAUUUCAGUGGAUUGAGUGAAGAGAGAAGAAAAGAUGGUAAUUGAUUUUUCUUUUUUUUUUUCUUUUCUGUUUAUAAUCGGGCCAAGUAGACUGGGUGUGGUGGGUUGAGUAGAGUAAUCUUUUAUUUUUGGUUGGAUUGAGCUUUAUAUUUAGGCAGUAGUAGAUAUUUUUUUAAGUUUUAGGAUAAAUGGACACUUACUCAAAAGUGUCCCAAACAUGUGUCCCUAUAAUGUAAUUCUGUUGUAGUGAAUAUUUUAUAUAUAAUUUUUUAAAUAAUUUAGAUUAUAUGUAAUAAAUAUAAAUUUUGAUUUUAUAAUAUUGAUUACUUAGAUAUAAAUUGUACAAUAAAAUAUAAAAGAAAAUUUGAUGAAGCUUAAGUUAAUAACGUAUUUUGAUUAAUUUAGUUGCGAGAAUUGCACACUUUAAUUUUAUAGUAGCGAUCAACUCGAUCUACAUUCAAAAUUUUCUUGAAUAUCCAAAAUAUAAUUGGUUGGCUUUUAAUUUUAACAAUUAGGUAUUCCAAAAUUUAUUAAAUAGUUUAACAAAUUUUUUUCUUCGAAUGAAAUUAUUAAUUGAAUAAAACCGAUCAAUGCUCAACUCUAUUUUCGUUUGGAAUAAAAAUAAAAGAUCAAAAGAUAAAUUAUACUUUUCGUCCUCAAAACUAUAAGACGAGUGACACUUUUGUUCUCGAACUUGAAUUAGUUAUAAUUUUUGGCUUGAAAUAUGAGGUAUACCAUUUUAGUCCUCAAUGUUUACCGCCCUAUAAAUAUAAUUUAUUAUUCUUAUGUUUUUGCCCUUAUUCUUUUUUAAUCAUUUUUAUAGUUGCUUCUUCAAUUACUUCUUUUUUAAAUAAAUCCUUGACUCGUUUUUUUAUGCUAUUUUUUUUAAUUUAAUUUUAUUUAUUUAUUUAUUUAUUUAUUUUUACGGAAUCAACCCGCUGCAAUGCCAGUGUCUUCACUAGUCCAAUAUUAAAGCUAAGUUAAGAGUAGCAAAGCCUACAACUUAAAUAUCAAAGUCCAUAAUGAGUUUUUUUUUACUCCUAUCUCAUUAAUUUUUGCUAAUGUAGUUUUAACAUUGGAAUAUAAAUAAAUUAAACAUGAGUUUCUAGAGAGGUGAAAACUCCCCUCUACCAUCAUAAUUCUCUUCUAAGCCAUGUUUUAAAUCGCUGUAUCGGGAUAUUAAUUAGGCCUGAGAUCGCUUCGACCGAAAAUAAUUCGUCUGAGCUCAAAAUAAAACUGAUUCCAAUCUCAUGGGGAUAAAUCUUAUUCCAUCAUAUGUAUAGAGUUGAGUUGGAAUGCUACAGGUAGCAAAAGGGCUCUAUUGUCAUCCAUUUGUUUUCGACAUGGAGCCUUCAAAUUGACGAUCGGCAUCGUUGAAAAUGAUCUAUACCACUUGAAAUAUUUAGAAAUUAAAUUUCAUACUUUUCCGACAUUGUUCUCUUAUCCAUCAAGUAGGCGUAAAAAUGAACGACUAAAAAUGAAUAUCCUCUAAAAAGUGAUGAUAGAAAUUUUGUAAUCAAGAUCGAGAGUACAGAUUUUGUUCUAAAUAGUUUAAAGAAUUUUCUAACCAAAAUUUAAUUAAUUCGGAUAGCUUUACACCGUUAAACAAGAAAAUGCCUCAUAUCUAUUAUUAAAAUUAUAAAUUUUGAAACCCUUUGAUCAUUAGGUCAAUUAUGUCGAAAAAAUUUGAAAAUUGAUUUCUAGAUAUUUUAAGUGAUAUAGAUCAUGUUCAACAGUGCCUGUUGGGUGUCGAAUUUCCCGACCUUUCACCCGGUCAAAGAUCCUCCUCGGGGAGCGCAUCGGGUUGAUGAACGGCUGCGGAUAGUGACCCUCGAAGUUUGUGCCCUUCGACAGAUCAAGCGAUUCAGCUGACGAGGGAUCGGAUCAGCCGAGUUCGAAAACCUUUACUGUAGAAUCGGUUCAGCUGGAUGAGCCGAAUGUAUGAACUGUGCAGGGAUCAAUGUCGGCAGAAGAGCCGAAUGGAAGAAGUACACAGUGACUGGUAUCGGCUGAAAGAGCCAAAUAGAUAAAAUACACAGUGACUGGUUGCACUACAACAGAAUUAGGUUAUAGGGACACAUGUUUGGGACACUUUUAAGUAAGUGUCCCAUUUAUGCUAAAACUUAAAAAAAUAUCUGCUAAGGCUAAAUAUAAAGCCCAAUCCAACCAAAAAUGAAAGAUUACUCUACUUAACCCACCACACCUAGUCCAUUUGGCCCGAUUACAAAUAGAAAAGAAAAAAAAAAAAUCAAUUGCCAUCUUUUCUUCUCUCUUCACUCAAUCCACUGAAAUUCUAGACGAAGAGUCUUUCCUGUCGUCCUCCUCCGCCACCGCAGCCAACGAGAUAAAGUUUCGGCGGUUGCUAAAUGCUUAAAUAAGUGUUCGUAAAUUAGCAGCACUCUUUUAGGUUAUAGCGACACUCUUUAACUGUCACUAUAUACCUAGCGACCCCACAUAUAGCAAUAUUUUUUAAAAGUGUCGGUAAUUUUAGCUAGCAGCACUUUUUUAACAUGCACCUAUAUUUAAAAGUGUCGCUAUAGACCGUUUUUGUUAUAGUGUCGGCUGAAAGAGCCGAAUGCCUAUAUAUAUAUAUAUUAAUAAAACAGAGUGUGCCCGAAGGGCAUACAAAUCCUGCAAAUAUAUAGUUUACAACAGAGUGAUGCCCGUAGGGCAGACAGACUCCAGAAUUUUACUUAAAAGCUACUCCUAGGAAAGCAGUAAAUGCGAAAAAAAAAGAUUACAUUUAGAUUACUCCUAGAAAGCAAUAAAUACAGGAAAGGAAAGAUAUGAAAAUGCGGUGGUCUUCUCGUUCAGGGGAGAGAAAGACCCUUAUUACAGGCUUUGAAGUUACUAUUUAUACUGAUGUCUUCUCAGCCCACAUUAUUGGUCGGUUGAAAGUAGUAGGGGGAGUGGUUGUAACCAUGAUCGUGGAAGUUACGCCUACUCCUCAUGAAAGUUACGCCCAUUUCUCAUGGAAGUUACGCCUACUCCUCAUGAAAGUUACGCCCAUUUCUCAUGGAAGUUACGCCUCCACUUCUCAACCGUUUCCGCCUAAACGCUCUUGACUUUCAGGCGCUUUAUUGCCGACUCCUGGUGUACCACGUGUCCUUAUUUCUUUGGCUCAUACGUGGGCUAAGUCGGUGUGUUAAUUUCAAUUUUGGCAUCAACAGUGCCGAUCAUCGAUUUGAAGGCUCCAUCAUCGAAAAUAAAUAGGUGGCAACGGAGCUCGUUUGCUAGCAAUAACAUUCUAGCUCAACUCUCACACACACACACACUCUCUCUCUCUCUCUCUCUCUCUCUCUCUCUCUCUCUCUCUCUCUCUCUCUCGAUCUAUCUUUGCAUCGUAUCUACCUCCUUACUCGGAUCUGAGUUUGGUGAAUGAAAUGCUGGGUUUUGGAUGGGUAUGGGUGAUCUUUGUGUGUAACUAUUAUCUGUUCCUUUCUAGGGUUUUUUACGUUGAAAUGAGUGGAGAUCCGCUCAACUAUAAGUCUCUUUGAAACGACCCCCUCAAUUUUUUUUUUCCUGCGAUUUUGAAUGAGUUUUGUCAAGUAUAUUAUGGAUUUUAGGAAAUUUCAAAUUGAACUCCCAAUAUUAAUGGCUAAUAAUUAAUAAAGCUAUCAAAUUUAAGAAAAUUACUUAAGGGCAUGUUUGUUUCGUCGUAAAAUCACCCCGAAAAUUUUUUUUCGGUAGAAAAAUAAGAUUCCGAGUGUUUGUUUGCUCGUAAAAAAAUUUUUUCGGAAAAUUUCUUUUACGAAUCCACGGAAAAAUGGUGUUUUCGUUUUCCGCUCGCCGCUUGGAACGACCGGAAAACGAAAAUGACGCCAAAAAAUAUGACAUAUUUAUUUUAUAUCUAAUAAUUUAUUUUAUAGUAUUAUAUAUUAUAUGACAUAUUUAAUUAUUACAUAAUAUAUUUUAAAUAUAUUUUAUUUAUAAAUGUAAUAUGAUANAUCAAAGAUAUUGACCUUGUUUUAUAUAGUAUAAAGAAUUUUCUAUCAAAAUUUCACGUGAUUUGGGUAUUUCUACACCGUUAAACUUGCAAACGGCUCACUACGACCAUUAAAAUGAUUGAUUUUGAGCCCCUUCGAUCACAGGGCAAAUGAUAUCGAAAAAUCAUAAAAUUUAUUUUUUAAAUACUUCAAAUACUUUAGAUUAAGUUUAACGAAGCCGAUCGACGAUUCGAAAAUCGCAAUAUCGAAAAUGACUUGGAAGUACGGAAGGCUCCGUGCUUCUAAAAGCAUAGUAGCUUCACUCUAUAUAUAUAUAUAUAUAUAUAUAUAUAUAUAUAUAUAU
This 10504-nucleotide long non-coding RNA is filed under the name Ananas comosus (pineapple). Its description in RNAcentral is "long non-coding RNA (ACOM_LNC031124)". Lineage: Eukaryota; Viridiplantae; Streptophyta; Magnoliopsida; Poales; Bromeliaceae. The record is from RNAcentral.